UAGCAUGUUUAGAAAUGUCCUUUUCCCUGCCCACAGCUUACAAAGACACAAUUGCAUAGUGGGAGCCUUUGGGAAGUUUUAAAUAUCUUCUGUGAAUGAGGAGAAAUGUGGACAUGUUGGCCAAGCUGGUCAUUUUCAUGGCGGAUCUUACACUUGCUUUGGCCAUUUUUGGUAUCCUCUAUGCUCUUUCCCUAAUAGCAACCACAGGUAUAUUCAUCUCUGUCCUCUUCUAUAUUUUCAAAGGGAUGGAUAAAAACUGUGACUUCAGCAAGGGAAGAAUCCAGGUGCCAGAUUCCAGCAGUGCUCCUGGGAAGGCAUUUGCAGGCAACAUGGAGAGUCAGGUCUGGAAUGCUCCCCACCUAUUUUCUGGCUGCAAGAGAAGAGGCCCAAGGAGUGUGUUUUUGUCUGCUAGAGAGCGAGGAGCCCUCUAUGGUGGAGGAGGUGUGCAACCGGACCUACCAGAACACCGCACCCACCCAACUGAGAGUCUUCCUUUUCAUGAAGAAUGCUCAAGCUCCUAAGAAAGCCUGAGGUGCAUGAAGUAGAGGAGAUGAAUGCAAAAGGAUUUUAAUUCCCAGGAGUAACAUCUCACUGGCUACUGUGUUUCAAUUCUUCAAGCCUUCAUGCUCUUUGCCCUGCGACUUUACACCCACCAUCAGAAGGUGGCUAGGUCUGUUUUCCCACUUCUUGAAUAGGGGCUGGCCUUUGGACUUGGUUAGGCUAAUAGAAGGCGUCAGAAGUGAGAGGGAGCCAGUUCCUAGUCUGGUUGUCAAGGGACCUCCCACUCCACACUCUGUCGGGAGUACUGCCAGCACCUUGUGAAAAAGCCCCUGCCAGGCUGCCAGAGGAAGAGCCCAUCUGUCCUAGCUGAAGCCAUACUAGUCCAGCCUAUAGCCGGCACCCCCCAAACAUGUGAGAGAGCCGAUCUAUCUCAUCCACACAUGACCACAGAUGUGUAAAGGAGUCCGAUGAGACCAGAAGACCUGCCCCACUUGCUCCUAAACCUUUGAGCAGUAAAUACUUACUAUUCUUUAGGAACUAGUUUUGGGCUGCUCUAACUCAUGUGGAGAAUGCAGUUUCUUAGAAGAUCUAAAUGUUUUAUGAUUUUGUUUUUAUUUUUGUUUAUUUUUGGUGGUGUUUUUUCCGCAGAAACUAUUUUCUUGCUAGAUUUGCUCAAAUGCACAUUGAUUUUGUAGUUUUGAAGAGAAUUCCUUGGUUUAAUCCUACUUUCACAGAAACUCCUGUGUGAUUCGUUUUGUCCUAUAACCGAGGCUACAAGAAACCUGAUGAUGCUACUGGGAAAGAAGUAGCUAAGUAAUUUCAAAAAGUGAAGAGUCUGGAUCCCCAAUCCAAAAAAAAGAAAGGAAAAGUUUAGUAAAAUGAAUAUCAGUUUGCAGAUUUAAAGGCUGGCUCAGUUGAUCUCAUAGUAAUGAAAGCAGAAAAGAUGUCAAGGAGACAGAAUUAAGUCUGAAUAUAACUUUUCUCUCAAAAUGUCAACAUAUACAUUAAAAUGAAUAAAAAAUUAUGACAGGUCAGGCAACAGAUACAUGUUGUACAAUAUGCAGAUAAUAGAAGGGAUGAACAAAUCCAGACCAACAAAACAUUAAAAAAAAUUGAGGGUGUGAUAGUAAUAUUAAAGAAAUUCAAAUUUAAGGAAGAGAAGCUUGAAAGAGACAAAACACAGAUAUCUGAAUGAGAUCUGUUUAACAUAAUUGAUAGUUAAUAUGAUUUGAUUUGGUGCUCCUGUUUUGGGACACGCAUAUUAUACCAGUAGGAUAGUCUCUUAUGCAAAACCUCUUUGAUACCUCCAGGACAACGAGAAAAUAGUAAGAGUAGGUUCCUCACUUAUAAAAAAAAAAGCAAGCAGUUGAAAUACAAUAUUUUGUUUCUUCCAUUUGGAAGUACAUUUUAAACAAGCGAAAUAGAUACCACAUGGCCUGUCAGUCACUUGACACUGAAGAACAAUAUAGGAUUUGUAUCUUAGUUCCCAUUUCCCACAAUGAGUGUUAAUUCUUCCCUGCCUUUGCUCUUGCUAUUUUUCAUGAGCAGAACAUUUACUUGUUCAUUUCCUCUCUUCUUUAGUUGGUAAACUCCAAACCAGGUUCAAACUUAGGAAAAAAAAAGCUUUAAGUUUAAACUAAGAGACCGCCAUUAUUAGUGAAGGUUUUCCUAGUAACUCCAGGCAAAAUAAACCACCAUUGCCAAGAGUUCCUAUUAUUUCCUCACAUCUGUAAGCAUAGCACUAAUUUUAUAUUAUGACUAUUUGUAGUCCUGUCUCCUCCUAUUAAAUCACAAGCUCUUCAAAGGUCCAGGGCAGGAAUCUGCAGUCUCUGAAAUAUUAGAGAUUUUUUUUAAUGUUAAGAUAAAUGCUUACAAAUUAAGUACUUAAAUAUUUUUAGAACAAACUGAAAUGUAUUCACACAUUAAAUUUUGAUCCACAUGCUCAAUUUUGCACUGCAGUAAUGGUAAUGGUACUUGGCUCUCCUAGGUCUACUCCAAAUUUUAGUCAAUUAAAAUAGUUUUAAUACAUCAAGGUGAUUAUCUUUCCAGAGGCAAUAAUUGUUCUCUAUUAUGAUUAUUAGUUAGAUUUUCCAAUUAGGUUUGAUUGAAGAGAGCCAUGGUUUUAAAUAUGCCAGUUCACUCCUUGUUUUAUCUAGCACAUGAAUACGUAUGACUAUAUUUGGAUUCCUAAUACGUAAUGAAAGAGCAGCUUUCGGUGUUUGAAAAGAAUGAAUCCUACUACCCCAAGGUGAUCUGUUUGUCUGCCAUGAUAACUAAUAAAGCUUUCCUUGAUACCCAAGAAGAAUAAGAAAUACCUUACAAGGGGCACCUGGGUGGCUCAAUUAGUUAAACGUCUGCCUUCGCUCAGGUCAUGAUCCCAGGAUCCUGAGAUGGAGCACCAUGUCAGGCUCCCAGCAGGGAGCUUGCUUCUCCCUCUCCUUCUGGCUGCUGCUUUCCCCUGCUUGUUCGCACUCUCUGUCUGUCAAAUAAAUAAAUCAGGAAGGAAGGAAGGAAGGAAGGAAGGAAGGAAGGAAGGAAGGAAGGAAGGAAGGAAGGAAGGAAGGAAGGAAGGAAGGAAGGAAGGGAGAGAAAGAAUGAUCAUAACCUCAACCGAAGGCAGGAGCUUAACCCACUGAAGCACCCAGGCACCCCUAUUAGAUGCUUUAAAGGGUAAAAAUGUCAUGAGGAUAAAAAUGCACAGGGAAUACAGUCAGUGGUGCUGUAAUAGGAUAAAGUAGCUACAGGGGGUAGCUACUUGUGGUGAACAUAAUAUAGAUUUGUUGAAUCACUAUGUUGUACACCUGAUACUAAUGUAACAUUGUGUGUCAACUACAAUGAAAAAAAAAGUUUUCAUCAAAAAGAAAAAAAAAAGGUGAAACUGUCCUAGAAUUAUUUCAAUCUUAAGAGACUCUACUUUUCAAUAAAAAUUACUAGAAUCAUGAUACUGGCUCAGUGUUCUCAUUGCCUCUUUUCCCUUCUUAAAAUCAGAGCUCUUAGAAAAACAAGCCAAUACAUAGAACCCUCAAAAAAGCACCACAGAACACUUUAAGAUAGUAUUUUUUUUUUUUUUACUUAAAAUUUAUGCCCUUUGUGUCAUGGAAAACGCGCUAUCAUAUCCCUUCUCUCAAUGUUUUUUCCCUUCAAAAUACCAUUAGGAUGAAAUGAACUGAGAAUAUGGGAUAAAAUUCCCUGCACUUCUUUGUCCCCAGUUUGGAAGGCACCUUAUAUAAACACCCCCUUCCACUUCACCCCUUAGGUCUUUCCCAAGCCUCAUUAUAAGGAGAAAACUUUUUUGUGUUAUUCUUAAAUGGAGAUUGAAACUCUGGAAGAGUUAUAACUACAAAGAUGUAGAUGAAGUAAAUCAAUUUCAUUAGUUCUCUUUACAUUUUUUUAAAUUUGAAAAUAUUUGUGGGAGCCUGAGUGGCUCAGUUGGUUAAGCAUCUGACUUCAGUAAGGUUAUGAUCUCAGGGUCCUGGGAUCCACCCCUGAGUCAGGAUCCCCACUCAGUGAGGACUCUAUUUGUCCCUCUGCCCUUCCCCCACUCACUCACACUCACUUUCUCUCUCUCUUAAAUAAAUAAAAUAAAAUCUUUAAAAUUUGAAAAUAUUUGGGAGGAAAAAGGCCUACCAUAUUCUCACAUUAAAAACAAAGUUUUAUGAAAGGAAAAAGUCAAAAGGCUCUUCAAAUCAAAGGCUUCCCUUGAGAUAGCCAUUGUCAAGAGCUUAAUAUUUGCUCUUCCCAACUUUCUCUUAUGCUUAUUCUGAAAUACGUUAUGUACUUACAAAAUGGCAUUAGGCUACAUAUAUCAAAUUAAACUUGGUUGUUCUACUUAAAAAUGUGUUUCUUCCCAAGUCAUUAUGUGUAUACCUACUUAUGAUUGCUGAACAUUAGCAAUCUUUUUAAUAUUGGCAAAUGUUUUGCCAACUUGGUAAGUGGAGAAUGAUGUCAUUUUACUUCACAUUUUGAAAAGUCAACAUCACUCAUCAUCAGAGAGAUACAAAUCAAAACCACAGUGAGAUAUCUCCUCGCAUCUAUCUGAAUGGCUGAAAUUAACAACACAAGAAACAACAGGUGUUGGAGAGGAUGUGGAAAAAGGGGAACCCUCUUGCACUGUUGGUGGCAAUGCAAACUGGGGCAGCCACUCUGGAAAACAAUGUGGAGUUUCCUCAAAAAGCUAAAAAUAGAAUUACCCCACAACCCAGCAAUUGUACUACUACUACCCAAAGGAUUAGAAAAAAAUACAGAUUAGAAAGAAUACAUACACCUCAAUGUUUAUAGCAGCAUUAUCAACAAUAGCCAAACUAUGGAAAGAGCCCAGAUGUCCAUGAAUGGUUAAGAAGAUGUGGUACAUAUACAUACAAUGGAAUAUUACUCAGCCAUCAAAAAGAAUGAAAUCUUGCUGUCUGCAACAACAUGGAUAGAGCUAGAGUGUAUUAUGCUAAGCAAAAUUAGUCAGUCAGAGAAAGACAAAUACCAUAUCAUUUUACUCAUAUUUGGAAAUUAAGAAACAAAACAGAUGAGCAUAGGGGAAGGGAAAUAAAAAUUAAAAAGAGAGAGAGAGAAAGAGAUAAGCCAUAAGAGACUCUUAAUUAUAGAGAACAAACUGAGGGUUGAUAGAGGGAGGUGGGAGGGGGAUGGGCUAGAUGGGUGAUGGCCAUUAAGGAAGGCACUUGUGAUGAGCGGUGGGUGUUGUAUGAAAGUGAUGAAACACUGAAUUCUACUCCUGAAACCAGUAUUGCACAGUAUUUUAACGAGAAUUUAAA
RNAcentral lists this long non-coding RNA (5264 nucleotides) under Canis lupus familiaris (dog). Its description in RNAcentral is "lncRNA (ENSCAFG00000033086.3)". Lineage: Eukaryota; Metazoa; Chordata; Mammalia; Carnivora; Canidae. The record is from RNAcentral.